This 253-nucleotide ribosomal RNA is filed under the name uncultured bacterium. RNAcentral describes it as "partial 16S ribosomal RNA". It matches the Rfam family "Bacterial small subunit ribosomal RNA", at positions 524 to 776 of the family's 1533-position model. The record is from RNAcentral.
UACGGAGGGGGCUAGCGUUGUUCGGAAUUACUGGGCGUAAAGCGCACGUAGGCGGCUUUGUAAGUUAGCGGUGAAAGCCCAGGGCUUAACCCUGGAAUUGCCUUUAAGACUGCAUCGCUAGAAUUGUGGAGAGGUGAGUGGAAUUCCGGGUGUAGAGGUGAAAUUCGUAGAUAUUCGGAAGAACACCAGUGGCGAAGGCGGCUCGCUGGACACAUAUUGACGCUGAGGUGCGAAAGCGUGGGGAGCGAACAGG